UGAAUACGAGACGCUAAGGCGUCGAAGUAGUGUAUGUCAUACUUCCAAGAAAAGCUUGCACUGUCAUAAGUAAAAAAUGCCUGUACCAUAACCGACACAGGUGGGUAGGUAGAGUAUACUAAGGGGCGCGAGAUAACUCUCUCUAAGGAACUCGGCAAAAUGACUCCGUAACUUCGGGAGAAGGAGUGCCUUAUUUAUAAGGUUGCAAUAACAAGAUCCAAGCAACUGUUUAUCAAAAACACAGGUCUCCGCUAAGUCGUAAGACGAUGUAUGGGGGCUGACGCCUGCCCAGUGCCAGAAGGUUAAAGAAGUUGGUUAGUGUAUGCGAAGCUGAUGACUGAAGCCCUGGUGAACGGCGGCCGUAACUAUAACGGUCCUAAGGUAGCGAAAUUCCUUGUCGGGUAAGUUCCGACCCGCACGAAAGGCGUAAUGAUUUGGAUACUGUCUCGGAGAGAGGCUCGGUGAAAUAGACUUGUCUGUGAAGAUGCGGACUACCUGCACCAGGACAGAAAGACCCUAUGAAGCUUUACUGUAACUUGAAAUUGGAAUUGGACUUUGCUUGCGCAGUAUAGGUGGGAAGCGUUGAAGAUAUUCUUGCGGGAGUAUUGGAGCUAUCAGUGAGAUACCACUCUUGUAAUGUUAGAUUUCUAACUUUGAACCAUAAUCUGGUCAAAGAACAGUUUCAGGUGGGCAGUUUGACUGGGCGGUCGCCUCCCAAAUGGUAACGGAGGCGUACAAAGGUUUCCUCUGAACGGAUAGAAAUCGUAUCUAGAGUGUAAAGGCAUAAGGAAGCUUGACUGUGAGACCUACAAGUCGAGCAGGGACGAAAGUCGGUCUUAGUGAUCUGACGGUACUGAGUGGAAAGGCCGUCACUCAACGGAUAAAAGUUACUCUAAGGAUAACAGGCUGAUCUCCCCCAAGAGUUCACAUCGACGCGAGGUUUGGCACCUCGAUGUCGGCUCAUCGCAUCCUGGGGCGGUAGUACGUCCCAAGGGUUGGGCUGUUCGCCCAUGAAAGCGGUACGCGAGCUGGGUUCAGAACGUCGUGAGACAGUUCGGUCCAUAUCCGGUGUAGGCGUUAGAAUAUUGAGAGGAGCCUUCUUUAGUACGAGAGGACCGAGAAGGACACACCGCUGGUGUACCAGUUAUCGUGCCAACGGUAAACGCUGGGUAGCUAUGUGUGGAGUGGAUAACCGCUGAAAGCAUCUAAGUGGGAAGCCCACCUCAAGAUGAGUAUUCUCAUC
RNAcentral lists this ribosomal RNA (1243 nucleotides) under metagenome. Its description in RNAcentral is "bacterial LSU rRNA". It matches the Rfam family "Bacterial large subunit ribosomal RNA", at positions 1564 to 2818 of the family's 2925-position model. The record is from RNAcentral.